RNAcentral lists this long non-coding RNA (210 nucleotides) under Oryza brachyantha (malo sina). RNAcentral's name for it is "long non-coding RNA (OBRA_LNC000263)". The record is from RNAcentral. Lineage: Eukaryota; Viridiplantae; Streptophyta; Magnoliopsida; Poales; Poaceae.
GGGCCGUCCCCUCCUCCGCCCGACGGAGCGCUACCCACCACCCACCACACGCUAAACCCCACCACUCCCUCCGGAUCGACGCGGCGUGCCUAGGGUUUCGAAUUGGGGCGGGGGGCGGGGCGUUCCCCUCCUGCGUUUGGAUCGGAGAAGAGGAAGAGGAGCAAGAGAGAGAGGGAGAGGGAGAGAGCGGUGAAUAAAAGGAGAAAAAAU